RNAcentral lists this ribosomal RNA (467 nucleotides) under uncultured bacterium. RNAcentral's name for it is "partial 16S ribosomal RNA". It matches the Rfam family "Bacterial small subunit ribosomal RNA", at positions 28 to 507 of the family's 1533-position model. The record is from RNAcentral.
GAUGAACGCUGGCGGCGUGCUUAACACAUGCAAGUCGAACGGAAAGGCCCAAGCUUGCUUGGGUACUCGAGUGGCGAACGGGUGAGUAACACGUGGGUGAUCUGCCCUGCACUUCGGGAUAAGCCUGGGAAACUGGGUCUAAUACCUGAUAGGACCACAUUUUGGAUGGUGUGGUGGAAAGUUUUUCGGUGUGGGAUGAGCUCGCGGCCUAUCAGCUUGUUGGUGGGGUAAUGGCCUACCAAGGGGUCGACGGGUAGCCGGCCUGAGAGGGGGUACGGCCACAUGGGGGGGCAGAGACAGCGCCGAGACCGCCGGGGGGGGGAGGUGUGGGGAAGUGUAUAAUGGGCGCGGGAGUGUGACGCAGCCGCGGCGUGGGGGGGGUGGCGUUGGGGGGGUUAAAAAACUCUAUCGAGGGAGAAAGCGCUUGAGUGACGGUACCGGGUAAAGAAGCACCGGCUAACUACGUG